This is a non-coding RNA of Malus domestica (apple), 3043 nucleotides long. Lineage: Eukaryota; Viridiplantae; Streptophyta; Magnoliopsida; Rosales; Rosaceae. The record is from RefSeq and is a predicted model, not a curated record.
GGCAUAGAAGUCGGAGAUGGCCAUGCUGAUGCAGCUCGGUGCCAUCUUCCCAAAUCUGGUAUUCGAGUCAACGACAACACCCACAUUUACUGGGGUAGUCUUGGUUUCCUGUGCCAUUGCCAAGAAAGUAGACGUAAGCCAUUGCUUUACAAAUGAACAGUGUUUUGAACCACAUUUCAGUUUAUUUACAAGAUUGCCACUCCGAUGCUUUUAGCUUUUUACGAAGAUGCCAUCGGUUCGAAUGACGGGAAUGCUCGUCUAGGGCACGGUUGGGGGUAAGUUGGGUGGGCAUUGUUGUCAGUUAGGGUUGCAUUCGGUGGGAUCGAUGGCUCAGUGUGGGAUUUGGUGGAAAGGCAUGCUGCUUGCAGAGAGGAGGAGAGAGAGGGAAGGCAUGCGACUUGCAGAGAGGAGCCAGCUUUUCAACGAAAAAGCUAAAAUCUAUCCCUUCGAACUCCUCAUCGGCGACGGCACCCACGACCACCAGUGUUCUGAGUGAUCAACGAGCUGUGAUGGGUUGGUGUUGGAUUCGAUUGAGGAAAGUGUGGCGGAGACAAUAAUUCCCAAAUCCUCGAGUUUUAUGAAUGCAUUCCAAUUGAUAGCCAUGCCAAAUGAUCUCGAUUUGUCAGGAUGAGAAAUAGAAGACAACAAGAAUUGUACCCAAGCAUACCAUUACUGAAACCAUGAAGAACAUAGAAGCGGCUGCAACGGAUGCGAGUCUUUCUGUAGCAAGAACAAACAACUUCAGGAUGUAAAUGCAUGCAAAAUUUCCAAUGGAAACGUAAAUCACCAUAUCCAGGUGGAUUACCAAAAGGAGCUCAUCAAGUAUUAUGCGAGCACAUCGACCUUAAUCAUUUGGAUAUUUAAAGGAGCCAUUGAUAAAGGGAAGACGACGAGUUGUGAACCUGUGCGGCAAUUUUCCCAAUUUUGCAGACAAGCAGAAACUCUGGCACAAUGAUCAAACAGGCUUUCAUGUUGCGUAUUUUGAGUAAUAGCUGUGAAACCCACCGUGUAUCGCACCACAGACGGUCUCGCCUCCGUCCCAUCCUCCUCUCGCUGCCGUCUCCCUUCUCUCGCCUCCAUCGUCUUACUCCUCCUUUCUCUGUCUCUGGAAUCCAUCUUCCUCGCAUGUAAGGCUCUGGCCCUCCCAAUUGAAACCAAAACGUGUUUCAGUUCUGAGGAAGAGCAAGAAAAAGGAAGAACCAGUAUUAGAAGAUCUUCCCAAAGAGUACUAUGAUGAUUCUAAGCCAUGAAGGAUUUGAUAAACCCACAAUUGAUAACAAUGUGCGGCAGCACCAACGGUUAAAUGGUUAGGUUCAUUCCUGCAUGGGAGAGGUGUGUUUUUGCCAUCAAAUUGGUAGAAACGGAUCUUAAUCAAAUAUCAUGCCAUAAUGUUAUUUUGUUCCAGAUAAUACUGCCUUUUUGGAUUUCGUAUGAGUGUCCCGGGUCGGUUCUGGACCAUCAAAAGAUGGAUGAUCGCUGUCAUUCGGACUGCCGACGUCCACUUCAAAAUCCCGGUAAACACGUCCUUUUCUUGAUUUCAGGCCAUGCAAAAUUCAUGGUGAAAAAACUGAGCUCAUGUCGUUGGUUUGUGCCUCUGUCCGAUUUCUUAUUUAUUUAUUUUAGCAAUCCUUUUCCUUCUUGGUUCUAUUUGUUGCUGCUGGUUCCGAUAUUUCGUUGUCCUAUCUGUCCAUGAUAUCAGUGCUGCCACUUUUCAUAUUCUUAUCAAUGCUUACAUCUUCACUCUUUUCCUUCUGUUUCUUUUGCUUAACAUGGUUUCGGUUUUUUGAGAUUGUGUGUUUGAUUAACAUUUGAUCAUAUGGUAUUAGAAUUUAAAUUUGAUUGGUUUUUUAAACCAAGAUUGUGCAUCCUUUGAUGUGAAUAAAUUCUGCCGGCGGGGAUUUUGGUCUCUGGAUUUUUCAUGGCGUAAUUUUUAUGGCAUGAUCCAUUGGUGUUGUGUGCAUUUUUAUCAACAAUAAUAAGCUUUUUCUCAGUAUUGCAAACAAGUUUUCUUAUAAUUGAAAUAUUUGAAAUCCCUGGUCUAUAAUCCUCUUGAUUCAUGGUUUUAACGCCUCCUGAUAAAAUAACUACAACGUUAUCACUUCUUUCUUCAGAUAGAUUAAACAUUCUACCCAUUACUGAGUUUCUUUAACGAGUCUCGCUCAUUUGUCAUAAAAUUAGAUGAGGUGACUUCAUACCAUCUCAGAGUAUUGUCAGAAUAUAACAUGAUAUUUGAUUCUUUCUCUUUUUUUCCCACGAGUCUCAAUUUGUUUUUGAAACAAUGUCUAAUAAACUUACCCGAUCUUCAUCGCUUAUCAUACUAUUACAGGUUUUGUUUUAAGGUUCUGAUGGAUAAAGCAAAAGCUCCUACCAAUUUAGCGGAGUGAACCAAGAAUUCAGGGCUUUUAUUAAUGACAUAUCACAUGCCAUUUUAAAGGUUCGACAGAAAGUUGAAGAACACAUAUGAUCACCUACUUUUUACGAGGUCCUGCUGAUGCUUAGUUGUUUAUUUUAGCAUAGAUUUUACACUCUUACUUUUAGGGUAUGUGUGUGUGUGUAUAUAUAUGUAUGUAUGUAUGUAUUUAUGAGUUGGCACAGAUGCUUAGACAUGCCACCCAAGCCUAAGCAUUUGAAAAAGUUUGUUCUCCUUGGUGAUAGAAAUUGGCAUCUUUCAGUACACGAUGGAGGUACCCAGUUAAGGCAAAUGCAUUCAAGUCUCGCAGCAGCGCGUGGACAUAUUUUCUCGUAAGAAGAAAAAGAAGAGAGAAAAAACGGGGGUGCAGCUAGAAUUUUUGGCCAUGUUUGAUAUUAUUCAAGCUUGGUCAGAAAUUGAUGGAAUCGAGUAAAAACGAGUCUUCGUUUAUAUAAAACGUGAUAGAUUGGAGAGAACAAUUAGGAAAUGUACACCAAAGCUCUCAACUGGGUAUUAAUUAUGAAUAAUGUAUAGAUUAAUACAAGUAAAAGAAGAAUCUACACUUUUAAUGCUAUGCACAGAUAAUGUAUUCAAGUUGCAACGAAAAACAUUGACAAGUUGGCAUUUGACAAA